AGCCAAGCGGUCUUGGGCCGGCUUAGUACUGGCGUGGGGGACCAUCUGGGAACCGCAUGGUGAUCUAACCU
This 71-nucleotide ribosomal RNA is filed under the name Polymyxa betae. Lineage: Eukaryota; Endomyxa; Phytomyxea; Plasmodiophorida; Plasmodiophoridae. The record is from RNAcentral.